This 1043-nucleotide long non-coding RNA is filed under the name Equus caballus (horse). RNAcentral's name for it is "lncRNA (ENSECAG00000041467.2)". Lineage: Eukaryota; Metazoa; Chordata; Mammalia; Perissodactyla; Equidae. The record is from RNAcentral.
UUAAAAGUCAUGUAUCCAGUCCUGGGUACAUAUAGCAGGGACUUAGCUGUGUUCUGUGUGACCCCAAGGGGUACAGUGGGACCAAUCAGUGGGAGAUAGAAAGAAACAGAUUUUAGCUCAAUAUUAGGUGGGGUCUUUAAAAACUCAUGGCUGCCCAGGUUGGAGUAGGCUGCACACAGAGGCAGAGCUUCCAACGGCAAGGGUCCUCACAGCAGAGGAGCGUCAGCUGCUUGACAAGAACAUCAGAGGGAAAUUUCAAGCUGUGGCCUCUCUGGCCUCCAAAAUCCCUUCCAACUAGGGAUUAUCUAAUCCUUCGAUUAGUGAAUCUCCUUCAAGUUGUCUACUUCACCAACUUAAGAAGGAAAUGAACUCCCCGGUGCUGAGACCAGAUCAGUGCAAAUGUGGCCGAGGGACUUGGGUUUUCCUUUUACUGCUGAAUCUGGUUUUCUUGAGUUUCAGUGUGGCAGCGUUUGGCUUGCUGGGCAUCAGGCACACGAAUCUGAGAUUAAGAAGUUCGGUAUCAAUGGUCGCCCACCUUUCCUUCUGGAUGAUCAAGAGGAAACAAGAAGGUCAUCUAACAUGGCUUCUCGGGCCAGGAGAUGUGCGCUGUAAUCAAAGGGCAGUAGGAUCCUGGCUCAAUUCUUGUGUGACUUCCCAGGGCCGCAAGGAUGGAGGUGCCAGGCUAAGGCUGGCCAGUUUCUUGAUGCUAACCCUAACCUUGUUUUUGUGGUUCCUCCUGGCCUGGUCUCUCAUUUUGAGAGACCCCUCUCCCUAGGUAAGUCCCCUCUGUUUUUCCCCCGUCUCAGCUGAUCUUCAUGGAGCAGAUUUUAUCUAAUCUUUAAGGUGUUGUUUUUGGUCCUUGUUUAUUCUCUCUUUCCAAUCUGUUGUUAAGUUUGCACCUUUAGUGACUCCUUUUUUCCAAGUGAGUUUUAAGAUUGUUCGCUCUCCUGUGAAUCCAAAAGGACAGUUUUAGAAGACCUGGAAUUCCACUGUACUCUGUAUUUGACUGUGUUAAUGCUCAGAUUUAAAGAAAAAAAGAUUAC